GCACAGGUAGCAGAAAUGAAUGAGCACUGUGAUAAAGUGAAGGCAGAGAGGCCUUUAACAUUUAACCCCAGGGGAAGUACGUGUUGUAUGUGUGGUGUGCAACACAAAGCUACGUUUAGUUAUGGGCCCCUGGGGAGAGCAGGGUGGGCCAAUGCUCCACUCCUCAGUUUAUACACAACUGGGAGAAAUAAGGUCCAGGCCAGAGUUUUUUGGAACUGUCUCCAACCCACUGCUCAGCUGCAGAUAAUCAGCUGUAGCAGUGGGAAUAAACCCCUCCCUGCUAGGAAGGUAAAGGGGGAUUGCUGGCUUCCACCCUGGAAGCAGGUAGGAGAGAGGCUGUUCUCUCCAGUGAGAGAGUCAAUGAGACUUGGCACUGGGAGCGCAGAAGGAAGCAGUCAAGGCUGGCUUGGAGCACUGGGAGUGCAGAAAGGAAAGCAGUUAAGGCUGGCUUGGAGCACUGGGAGUGCAGAAAGGAAAGCAGUUAAGGCUGGCUUGGAGCACUGGGAGUGUAGAAAGGAAAGCAACAGGCUGACUAAGCACUGGAGUGCAGAGGGCUG
Pelobates cultripes (western spadefoot toad) is the source of this 557-nucleotide non-coding RNA. Lineage: Eukaryota; Metazoa; Chordata; Amphibia; Anura; Pelobatidae. The record is from the annotation of a GenBank genome assembly.